Molecule: ribosomal RNA, 418 nt
Filed under: Spodoptera ochrea
Lineage: Eukaryota; Metazoa; Arthropoda; Insecta; Lepidoptera; Noctuidae
Description: partial 16S ribosomal RNA
Source: RNAcentral
GGGCUGCAGUAUAUUGACUGUACAAAGGUAGCAUAAUCAUUAGUCAUUUAAUUGAUGACUUGUAUGAAAGAUUGGAUGAAAUAUAGACUGUCUCUUAAUUAAAUUAUAGAAUUUAAUUUUUUAAUUAAAAAGUUAAAAUAAAUUAAAAAGACGAGAAGACCCUAUAGAGUUUUAUAUUUAAAUUAGUUGAGAUUAUUUAUAUAAUUAUUAAUUAAAAUUAUUUUAAAUAUUUUGUUGGGGUGACAAAAAAAUACAAAUAACUUUUUUUAUUAUUUAACAUAUAUAAGUGAAUGUAUGAUCCAAUAUUAUUGAUUAUAAGAAAAAAUUACCUUAGGGAUAACAGCGUAAUUUUUUUUUUUAGUUCAAAUAAGAAAAAGAGUUUGCGACCUCGAUGUUGGAUUAAGAUAAAAUUUAAAUG